AGAUCCCAAUGAAACUGAGAACUGAGGAACUUCAUAAUGAGAUCCCAAUUAAACAGUUUAAAACAAUCCCAAUUAAACAGUUUAAAACAAUCCCAAUUAAACAGUUUAAAACAAGGACUUCAUCAUGAGAUCCCAAUGAAAAAUUGAAAAACGAGGACCUCAUGACCACAGAGAUCUCAAUGAAAAAGUGAAAACCCAGGACUUCAUGACAAGAUCCCAAUUAAAAAAUAUUUUGUCUCAUAGAUUCAUGCGACAAUGUAACUUUUUUAGUUCAUUGCAACACACAAACUUACAGCGCCGUAAUUUAAAUUUCUUGAUUACUUUUAUAACUAUUUUUAUCUGCAUUUUAACUUUUAAAAGCCUGAAGUUUCCUUUACUUAGCUUAACGUGUGUCUGCUUUAAACCACACAUCCACAUUCUCACUUCUGAGUUGAGUGAGUUUCUAAAUUUAAGUUCUAAACACCGUGUCUGGAAUGCCAGUGCAAUUCCAAUGCCAUUUAUUCCACAGGGAAAGCCCAGGGAGGGGAUGCUCCUUUCAGGAGAGCUGCAGGCUGCGGGUCUGCACUCAAGGCCAGGUCGUUGAUUGCUGUGGAUUCAAACACGGAUUGCUCUUGGGCACAUCACACACCCAGCUCUGGGUUAUGCAGAACUGCUGCACUUUCCAUUUUCGGUGUAUUUUGGAGUUUCAGAACAAAUUACAGCUGCCUCUUUUCUAUCAGACCCCUGUGUCUGGAAUACCAGUGCAAUUCCAAUGCCAUUUAUUCCACAGGGAGGGGAUGCUCCUUUCCCUGACCAGGAGAGCUGCAGGCUCUGGGUCUGCACUCAAGGCCAGGUCACUGCUGUGGAUUCAAACACGGAUUGCUCUUGGCCAUGUCACGCUGGGUUAUGCAGAGCUGCUGCACUUUCCAUUUAUAGUGUAUUUUGGAGUUUCAGAACAAAUUACAGCUGCUUCUUUUCUAUCAGACCCCUGUGUCCUGGCUUAGCCUGCUCCCCUCUCCUCAAAGCCUGGGUACAAAUCACCCGGUGAUCCUGACUGCUAAUGAAACCUGGAUUAAAUUAGCGUGCCGCUCAGUUGUCAGUGUUCUCAGUGGGUUUAUCUCCCUGUGGGAUCUCAG
RNAcentral lists this long non-coding RNA (1115 nucleotides) under Zonotrichia albicollis (white-throated sparrow). RNAcentral describes it as "lncRNA (ENSZALG00000008027.1)". The record is from RNAcentral. Lineage: Eukaryota; Metazoa; Chordata; Aves; Passeriformes; Passerellidae.